AUUGUUUAACACGUGUAUUCAUAUUUUAUAUCUUUUACUUAGAGGUCGCCCGGAACCUCACAACUCGAUUAAGACGCCCGUAUUUUGAAACACACUUAUACCUCGGUUCUUGUUAAUAAUAAUAAUAAUAAUAAUAGCAAAAAAUUAGUCUACUAACGGGCGACUCUCACCGAUGUAAAACGCCUGCAUCCACGAUGAAGAUGUCGUUUCCUGUAUACGCUAGUCGCUGCGUCUUUAUGCCCAAUUUGACUUUCGUUCAACUUUCCACGCCGCCUAUCGGAGUAUGUUAAUCAUUGGCAGUCGUACAGCUGGUUCUGGAAAUUUUCUUCUCCGAAACGGUAUAUGUCACGCAUUGGUAAUUGUUUUAGAUUUCGAAUUUUACCACCGCCAAACCGUGACAUUAGUUAAAUUUACGAACGAAGAAGCGUCUAUAAAUAAAACAAAUCUCCAGUUUCGCUAUUCCACGGGUGAACUGGGCAAAUGUAGAAGCUAAAGAAUGAUGCGGCCAUCUCCACCAGUGUCACGGGGACAAGGCGAUUUGUCGAACGAGUGGACCUCCAGCCUUCGGUCAAAUACAGUUGUCUGCCGCCCGACAUCAUUCUUUAGCUUCUCCAGCGGAGAGUUCUGGGAGCAUUUUCUGAACCGGCUCCGUAUCGAACUGGCAGUAAUUGGCCGAUAGCUAAACGACAUUGUUUAAUGGUGGCGUGGUAGGCUUUUGGUUGGAACAUCG
RNAcentral lists this long non-coding RNA (730 nucleotides) under Androctonus crassicauda. Lineage: Eukaryota; Metazoa; Arthropoda; Arachnida; Scorpiones; Buthidae. The record is from RNAcentral.